RNAcentral lists this ribosomal RNA (427 nucleotides) under Thermotoga sp. enrichment culture. RNAcentral's name for it is "bacterial SSU rRNA". It matches the Rfam family "Bacterial small subunit ribosomal RNA", at positions 355 to 774 of the family's 1533-position model. The record is from RNAcentral. Lineage: Bacteria; Thermotogati; Thermotogota; Thermotogae; Thermotogales; Thermotogaceae.
UGGGGAAUCUUGGACAAUGGGCGAAAGCCUGAUCCAGCGACGCCGCGUGGGGGAUGAAGCCCUUCGGGGUGUAAACCCCUGUUGCGAGGGAGGGAUAAGGCCUGGAGGAAAUGCCAGGCCGAUGACUGUACCUCGCGAGGAAGCCCCGGCUAACUACGUGCCAGCAGCCGCGGUAAUACGUAGGGGGCGAGCGUUACCCGGAUUCACUGGGCGUAAAGCGGGUGUAGGCGGCUCGGUAAGUCGGGUGUGAAAUCCCACAGCUCAACUGUGGAACUGCGCCCGAAACUGCUGAGCUUGGGGCCGGUAGAGGGAGACGGAACUGCCGGUGUAGGGGUGAAAUCCGUAGAUAUCGGCAGGAACGCCGGUGGGGAAGCCGGUCUCCUGGGCCGCGCCCGACGCUGAGACCCGAAAGCUAGGGGAGCAAACC